GAUCUGAUGAUAUUGGCAUUCUAAGUCUAAGGUUGCAAACAUUGUCAUAUUGUCUCACAAGCACAUCAACCUUGCACAAAAAGUUCAGGAAUUCAUAAGUUAUCCAUCCAAACUAACCAAUCCCAUGUAAUAAUUUCUCAAAAUCUUGAGUAAACUCAUUUUAAAUUGACAAAAAUAAAUGGAGGGACGAAAGUGUAUGAAUAAAUUAAAACUUAGUAAUUUAUCUUAGGAGUUAACAAUGUAUACGUACCAUGGCUUUGGUUAACGAAAAGAAAGAACCAGAGUAAUUGGAUACGUCUUCCUCAGUGAAUCCCAUACCUGAUCCUAAAGGAUGAGAAUCAUCAUAGUCGAAAAUACAACCACUAGUAUAGUUCACCAUUAGAAGAUUAUGCUGUUUGCAAACGUCAGCCAGUGUUAGAGCACCAACAACAUUGCUGCGAAUUGUCUCUAACUUGUGAAAUUCACACCAAUCCACAUUGGGUCUACCAGUGACUCCAGCAGCAUUGAACACAUGAGUAGGCCUAACAGCUUGAAUAUCUUCCAAGAUCUCUGAUCUGUUCUCCAAUCGACCUUUUCCAUAACUGUAAGGUAUUCCCUGCUUCUCGCACAGCUUUCCAAGCAUUCCCCCUAUCCAACCUGUUCUUCCGUAAAUAAAAAAUUUCAGUGAUGGCUUCUGUCCUCCGGAGGUACUGUUGGUUUUUGGCACUGCUGCCAUCAUUAUUCUGCUAAAUGAUCAAAGCAAGUGAAAGUUGUUAUGGAUAAAUUAAUUAAUUAACAUGGUAGCAUCAAGUUCUAACAAUUAAUUAAUAUUAGCUUUAGAGUCCCAAAUUUUGAUCCGACGUAGUUAAGCUUUUGGAAAGCAUGCAUAUGAUUUAGAACUAUGAUUAGCGGAAAAGUGUAGCAACGCAUGAUUAGAGAAGGCCACGCAGCUACAGGAGCUAAAGCUGGAAAUUAAGCAUGAUUUAUGAAACCAUAUUGCAAAAGAAGCAAAGGUGGAAUGGAGCUAUAUAAUAUUACUGUGGUUUUGAAGAUUAAAAGAGCAUAGUUGGUAAAUGUAGCUGUUACUUACUUGAGUUUUCCAGCAGAUAGUAAAUGUAGAGGUUGUAAAUGGGUAUUUCAAGUUUCUUGCAAUGAACAGCACCAUAAGAAAGAAAAGAGAGUGGAGAGAUGAGGAAGGAUGUUAG
Molecule: unclassified non-coding RNA, 1184 nt
Filed under: Hevea brasiliensis (rubber tree)
Lineage: Eukaryota; Viridiplantae; Streptophyta; Magnoliopsida; Malpighiales; Euphorbiaceae
Source: RNAcentral